UACGUAGGGGGCAAGCGUUGUCCGGAAUCAUUGGGCGUAAAGAGCGUGUAGGCGGUCCGGUCAGUCGGUUGUGAAAGUCAAGGGCUCAACCCUUGAAUGCCGGCCGAUACUGCCGGGCUAGAGUCCGGAAGAGGUGAGUGGAAUUCCUGGUGUAGCGGUGGAAUGCGCAGAUAUCAGGAGGAACACCGACGGCGUAAGCAGCGCCCUAAACGAGUACUGACGCUCAGGCACGAAAGCUGGGGGAGCAAACAGG
Molecule: ribosomal RNA, 253 nt
Filed under: uncultured bacterium
Lineage: Bacteria
Description: partial 16S ribosomal RNA
Rfam family: Bacterial small subunit ribosomal RNA
Source: RNAcentral